This 492-nucleotide ribosomal RNA is filed under the name uncultured bacterium. Its description in RNAcentral is "partial 16S ribosomal RNA". It matches the Rfam family "Bacterial small subunit ribosomal RNA", at positions 29 to 507 of the family's 1533-position model. The record is from RNAcentral.
AGUGAACGCUGGCGGUAGGCCUAACACAUGCAAGUCGAACGGCAGCACAGUAAGAGCUUGCUCUUACGGGUGGCGAGUGGCGGACGGGUGAGGAAUACAUCGGAAUCUACUUUUUCGUGGGGGAUAACGUAGGGAAACUUACGCUAAUACCGCAUACGACCUACGGGUGAAAGCAGGGGAUCUUCGGACCUUGCGCGAUUGAAUGAGCCGAUGUCGGAUUAGUUAGUUGGCGGGGUAAAGGCCCACCAAGGCGACGAUCCGUAGCUGGUCUGAGAGGAUGAUCAGCCACACUGGAACUGAGACACGGUCCAGACUCCUACGGGAGGCAGCAGUGGGGAAUAUUGGACAAUGGGCGCAAGCCUGAUCCAGCCAUACCGCGUGGGUGAAGAAGGCCUUCGGGUUGUAAAGCCCUUUUGUUGGGAAAGAAAAGCAGCAGGUUAAUACCCCGCUGUUCUGACGGUACCCAAAGAAUAAGUACCGGCUAACUUCGUG